Molecule: non-coding RNA, 74 nt
Filed under: Frischella japonica
Lineage: Bacteria; Pseudomonadati; Pseudomonadota; Gammaproteobacteria; Orbales; Orbaceae
Description: RpsF leader
Rfam family: RpsF leader
About the family: Conserved and widely distributed to many bacterial species RNA structure.
Source: RNAcentral
AAUAUUCAUGUUCCUUGCUUUCAUUGGGCUACGGCUGACCCGGACAGAAAGCUGAUUAAUCCGUAGGGAGCGAU